AGGACGAACGCUGGCGGCGUGCUUAACACAUGCAAGUCGAGCGGAAAGGCCCUUCGGGGUACUCGAGCGGCGAACGGGUGAGUAACACGUGAGUAAUCUGCCCUUAGCUCUGGGAUAGCUCCGGGAAACCGGGAUUAAUACCAGAUACGACCACUUUAGACAUCUGCCGUGGUGGAAAGAAUUUCGGCUAAGGAUGAGCUCGCGGCCUAUCAGCUUGUUGGUGGGGUAACGGCCUACCAAGGCGACGACGGGUAGCCGGCCUGAGAGGGUGACCGGCCACACUGGGACUGAGACACGGCCCAGACUCCUACGGGAGGCAGCAGUGGGGAAUAUUGCACAAUGGGCGCAAGCCUGAUGCAGCAACGCCGCGUGAGGGAUGACGGCCUUCGGUUGUAAACCUCUUUAGUAGGGAAGAAGCGAAGUGACGGUACCUGCAGAAAAGCACCGGCUAACUACGUGCCAGCAGCCGC
This 470-nucleotide ribosomal RNA is filed under the name uncultured bacterium. Its description in RNAcentral is "SSU rRNA". It matches the Rfam family "Bacterial small subunit ribosomal RNA", at positions 26 to 518 of the family's 1533-position model. The record is from RNAcentral.